GAUGAAGAACGUAGUGAAAUGUGAUAAGUAAUGUGAAUUGCAGAAUUCAGUGAAUCAUCGAAUCUUUGAACGCACCUUGCGCUCCUUGGUAUUCCGAGGAGCAUGCCUGUUUGAGUGUCAUGAAAUUCUCAACCUUUUCAGCUUUCUUUGUUGAUCAGGCUUGGAUGUGGGAGUAUGCGGGCUUCUCAGAAGUCGGCUCUCCUGAAAUGCAUUAGCGGGACCUUUGUUGCCUGGCUUUGGUGUGAUAAUUAUCUACGCCAUUGUAGUCAAGCAGCUUAAAAUGAGGUUUCAGCUUCUAACCGUCUCCCCUGAGACAACUUUUUGACAAUUUGACCUCAAAUCAGGUAGGACUACCCGCUGAACUUAAGCAUAUCAAUAAGCGGAGGA
This 387-nucleotide unclassified non-coding RNA is filed under the name soil metagenome. Its description in RNAcentral is "partial contains 5.8S ribosomal RNA, internal transcribed spacer 2, and large subunit ribosomal RNA". The stretch from base 1 to 120 matches the Rfam family "5.8S ribosomal RNA", at positions 35 to 154 of the family's 154-position model. The record is from RNAcentral.